This 253-nucleotide ribosomal RNA is filed under the name uncultured bacterium. Its description in RNAcentral is "partial 16S ribosomal RNA". It matches the Rfam family "Bacterial small subunit ribosomal RNA", at positions 524 to 776 of the family's 1533-position model. The record is from RNAcentral.
UACGGAGGGGGCGAGCGUUAUUCGGAAUUAUUGGGCGUAAAGGGCGCGUAGGCGGCUUGAUGUGUCAAAGGUGAAAUCCCUCGGCUCAACUGAGGAACUGCCUUUGAAACUGUCUGGCUUGAGGCCGGGAGAGGGUAGCGGAAUUCCCAGUGUAGCGGUGAAAUGCGUAGAUACUGGGAGGAACACCGGUGGCGAAGGCGGCUACCUGGACCGGUUCUGACGCUGAUGCGCGAAAGCGUGGGUAGCAAACCGG